CAGCCGCCGCGGGAAUACAGAGGGUGCAAGCGUUAAUCGGAAUUACUGGGCGUAAAGCGCGCGUAGGUGGUUUGUUAAGUCGGAUGUGAAAUCCCCGGGCUCAACCUGGGAACUGCAUCCGAAACUGGCAAGCUAGAGUAUGGUAGAGGGUAGUGGAAUUUCCUGUGUAGCGGUGAAAUGCGUAGAUAUAGGAAGGAACACCAGUGGCGAAGGCGACUACCUGGACUGAUACUGACACUGAGGUGCGAAAGCGUGGGGAGCAAACAGGAUUAGAUACCCCGGUAGUCCCUGUCUCUUAUAC
This 301-nucleotide ribosomal RNA is filed under the name uncultured bacterium. RNAcentral's name for it is "partial 16S ribosomal RNA". It matches the Rfam family "Bacterial small subunit ribosomal RNA", at positions 509 to 807 of the family's 1533-position model. The record is from RNAcentral.